This is a long non-coding RNA of Cygnus olor (mute swan), 4931 nucleotides long. RefSeq lists it as uncharacterized. The record is from RefSeq and is a predicted model, not a curated record. Lineage: Eukaryota; Metazoa; Chordata; Aves; Anseriformes; Anatidae. The transcript has 4 exons.
GGAGCCCCAGUUCCCUCCCAAUGGUGUUGCAGUUUGUGCCAGGAGGGUUGGAAGAUGGAGCAAGCAGAGCACAGGUUGGAGAGGGCCGUGUCAUGUGCAGGGUACAGAAGACCAGCGAAACAGGCUCCACAUGCUCACUGGUAGGAGGCUGGCAGCGGGCAAGGAAAAUCGGCUCUUGCUCAGUUGAAGUCAAGCAGAAAUGACCCUGAAAAUCAGCAUCCUGCUCAGCAGCCUCUGCUACAAAUGCAGCAAAGCCGAAGGCUGCCUCACUCCAGUCCCACUUAGGCAAUUCUGCAGGAAGGUAACGGCACUGACUCCAGCAGAACGGCUCCAGAUUUAUAGCUGGCAGUGGCACUCGGCCCGUGGCGAAGACUGGCAUGUUUUAUACUCCCUCCACAUCGCUUCUAUUAAUCUGUUUAAUAUGCUGGCGGCGGCGAUGACAGCAGAGGCAAUAAAACCCUCGCGUGGCUGGUGUUUGUGCUCAGGUAUGGUGUCCGGAGCGGCACGCUGCAGCGAGGAGCUGCCAUCUCUGUACUCAGGGAGAUAAACUUCGUUCAGCAGGACGAGCUGACCAAGGAGGGUGCUGGGCUCCGUUGCCAAAAGCCCGAAGGCCACGUUGGGCCAAGAGCAGCAGUGGUUGGCGUUGCCUCAGGCAGGGUUUUGGGGCUGUGCGUGCCCCGUAAAGGGCACCGUAAAGUGCCCCGUAAAGCUGGGGGGCUUUAGGGGAUGAGGCAGGCCCCAGGGUGGCCGCAUCCUGCUUCUCAUGGCGAGCGUGGCCCUGCACAUCCCCUGCAUCGUGGGCAGCACGAAGCCACAGCUCGGUGGCAUUGUUCUUGUUCCCACCAUGCUGGAAGCAGGCGGAGAAGCUCUGGAUGAACCCCAGCCCAUAGGGAGACGUCGCGUCCCCACCUCCCUCUGUGCAUCAGCUGUAUGCAGCCCCUCCAAUCAUUACACUGAAUAGGGAGAAAAAUUAAGGGAGAAAAAACAGACAACUCCUGCUGCACGGUCCACUUAAAAAAAAUAUUUUUUUUGGCCACGUGGCCUCAGAGCAGCCUCCGCCGGUGGCUUCGUCCCUCACACCCAUGCCAGGGCCGCCAAGGCCGGAGGAAUGGCUGCGCCCCGUGCCGGCCCGGCGCUAAUUGGCCUGUUUGUUUGGCAAUAAGUGAUUCCUGCCUGGCGUGGGGCGGAUUGUUUUUCACACCAUUAAAUGAAGUUCUGAUGUAUUGAUCCCUGUUUUUCCAAUUUGAAGCCUGAAAAGUGAUGAAGACAUUUUCUUGUUUUCUCAUGUACUUUUCCCCCAGUUCAUUUAGGUGACCUGUCUUUAGUUCCUUGCUCUGCUCGCUGUAAUUGCUUCUUCAAAGUAAUGCUGCACUGUGAGCGCCGUACUGCAGCCCGGGUACGUUUUUAUGGAAGGAUGAAGGAAGGCGAGGUUGAAGUCAUCAACCAAUAUUAACUGUGGAAGGUUUGUCACAAAUGACAUCUCAAUAGCAGUGUGUCUGUGCCUGCUGCUGGAGCCUCAGUAAAACAGUGCCGAGGACGAGGGCAGGACCACGGGGCAGCUUUGUCUCUCCAGGCUGCUUAAUAUUUUGCUUAGGAGCUGGAAACACCGUGGAACAUUAUUUUUCCUUGGGUACAGAUAUCAUCAUUUGUGUUCUCUGUACCUUUGAGAAAAACUUAAAUACUUGGAUGUUUGCGUGAGGUUUUGCCAGGGGUCUGGUUUUGUUCGGCACUAACAUACAGAGGGAAUUUUUUCCAGGAGAGACCAAUAGAGCGGGUGCUGAGCUUACAGUUACUUGGCAAGUUUAAUUACAGAGGGAGCAGUGGUUGCUCCAAUGCAGCCUCACCUGUGGUGAAUUAAAGUAUGAGGUCUAGCCUGAGUGCAUAUAUACAGGGAAGCUCUUGGUGACUUCAGCAGACUCCAGACAUGCAGCCUUUACUGACAGCAGUCAGCCCAAGUCCAGCGGAGCCUGGGGAGAUGAAGCAAAGCUGGGAUUUUUGCCCAUGUGGCCAAGCUCUGAAACGGGCAGGGAGUCCUGAGACCCCCCAAUGCACCAGGAGCUUUCUGCUCACUAUUGUUUUGAGCUGAGGGGUCGGCAGCGUGGAGUCGAUCCUGAGCCUGGAAUUCAUCCCGGCAAGAGCAGGGUCCGGAGCCCACGGGCACCCUGGGUGCAGGAGGACAGCUGUGCUCGGGGCCUCCGCAAAGUCCAGGUGACAGAACCCAUCUCGAUGUGCACUUAUUAGGGAGAUGAUUAAUCUAUUUGUUUUGCAUUGCUGCUGUUAUUAUUAUGCGCAUAAGCCUGAAUUAUGUAAGAACUUUCCUGCAGAAAUUGUGUUUGCUGGCUGCAAGCACAAAAUAAAGAAGAAAAUUCUUUCCCUUAAAUAUUUCUAGCUAUAUGGAUAGAGAGUGCUGGGCUUCUGGGGGCAGGAUCUCUCCUUUGUGCUCUUGGCAUCUACUGUCAUGAGGUCCCUGCUCCUAACCAGCCUUGCAAAGUGUUGUUACAAUACCAAAUGAUCUAUAAAAUAGACAAGAGAUAGGGAAAGGAAUGCAGUAGGAAAGGAAACUUUUGUCAAUAUAUUAUUCCAAGAAUAGCAAAAAAAAUCCAUUGUGCAGUUUGAGAACAUGGUGCCACGCAGACAUGCGAGGGCAAAUCUUGGAAAUAAUGUCCCUUGGAUCUGAAUGACAUGGUGCAUUUCAGAAAGGUAACUGCACUAGGCAUAGUAAGUAGCAGAAAAUACAUGGACAAGGAGGAUUUCGUAAUUUCUUUCUCUUCCCUCCAAUUGUAAAAUCCUUAGAAAGAGGGUAAAAAUUAGGAAAUGGGGUAACUUGUAGAAAUAAGUGAUCUGUUCAUCACCUACACAAUGAGAGUUUUUUUAUUUUAUUUUUUAUUGUAAACUACCUUAUGACAAUUGGUGAUAAAACAGCUGAGCCUUUCAAAAAUCCAUUUUAAUAAAACACCGUAUGACCUCAUAGAUAUGCAUAGGAUUUAGAAAUAACAUGGAUUUUAAUGAAGGUACUUGAAAGGUAUGGUGCCAUAUUGCAAUUUUAUGGAAGAUCUUAGAUUAAUGAAAUUAAACGUGAACUGCAUUGUUUAGAUGAUGAACUUAAGGUCAUAUCUGCAGCAUUUGAAAGAGAAACCUUGAGUGGAGGGUGUAGAAUCAUUGAUUUAGACCCUGGUAGACAGCUGAAUAGCAAGCAUUGAAGCAUGAAGGUAAAUUCCCAUAUUUCAUUGUUAGAAGGUUAGCUGGUGGCUGCCAGCUUUUCAGUGAUAAUCACCAACCAAUUCCACCCUGUUUCAAAAAAGAUUUUGCCUUUGUGUGCUAAGACACUUUUAAAAACCAUUACUGUUCAAAGCAGGGGCACAGUGUUUAAAGAGAAGCUAUUUCUGCAAAAUAUAGGAUAGCAAUGAGUUGAUGCUGUCCUUGGAUAGCGAUGCUAUUAAGUUCAUUAGGAUCAUCAUCCAUUUAAAAUGCUUAUAAGGAGAAUUUAGACUGUUUGCUGUAGACGCCAAAGGCACCUCCUACUGCAAGUCAUAACUACAUGUCACCAGUAAUUAGCUCUUUUCCUUCCUUAGGAUGGCUUAUAAGACAAUGGCCCUUUCAGGUUUAAGUACCAUUUUCCUCCCCAGACACACACACACAUAUGCACACACACACAGAGGGGAUGAAUGCAUGCACGUGCACAUGUGUUAAACUAAUAGACAUGAAUUUGUACAACAGGAAAAUUGCAAGGAAUGAAAUCCUCAGGCCUUAAGAAUAAGUGAUAAUGGAAUGAUACUGCCAAUUACUGCUUGAGAACAGUGUUGUCACAGGGAACAGCUCAUGGAGAUGGAAGGAUGAGGGGAGGAGAAAAGGUUCCCUUUUGACAGUUUGCUGUUAAAGGGAAUUUGUCAAGGAUGUUAAAAUUAGAUCUAACUGGGCCAGAUCCUCGGAUGACAUAAAUCAGCCUGUAGACUUCAAAUCACGAGCUGGCCACAUAUUCCUCUUUGUUCUUCCUUCAUCUUUAUUAUCUGCAUCAUAACACUGCCUGUGAGCUGCCAUGAUGCUUUGAGCUCCAUUGUCUUAGUGCUGUACAAACGCAGUAAGAGAAGGUACUUCCCUGCUUUCACCUGCUCUGGGUAGUGCCUUUUAUUACUUAUAACAUCCACAGGUUUUACAAAUCCUACGUAAUUGCGGGAGAUGGGGACCUCGUCUAGACUAGGGUUUGGGCUGUGAUGUUAGUAUCUGUUAGAUCUGUAUGAACUGACCCGUUUUCAGCAUGGGCAAGACGAGCUGCUUUCCACAAUGGCAAAGUGAUGGAGUUGCCUUUAAUGAGUGCUGUUGCAUACCGGAGUGAGAAUACUGAGGUGGGAACCUAUCAUCCUGCACCCAGCCCUGCUGAUCGCAAUACGGCAGCGCUCAGAGGCAGUGUUUAGCUUCAGGAUCAGCCAUGUACCUCUCAUGGGCAGAUGAGAGGGCAAACCCAAAGAGGAUCCUCUCAGAUGGGAAAAGACCCUGCAGUUCCAUGUACAAUCUCUUCCAGUCUGAAUUUUUGGCAUGCUGAGCUAAACUCUGCCACAUCAUGAAAACUGUCUGAAAGCUGCCAGUAAGGAAAUUAGGCAAGAAAUAGUGUUAGAUAAUGGUCGUAAAUGCAUUAUGAUCAUUCCUUUCAUUAGAAACUUCCUUGUUUUCUCCCUGACGUACACCAGGAAACAGCUUGCAUGUGAUUUAUUUGUGUGUGUUUGGGGAGGAGAGGCAAAGGGAAUAAAGCCUAAGCCAUUAGGUGUUUAAAAAGGCAGUUGGGAGAUUUAGGGACACGAUGCUUAUUAAAAUAAAUAGAAGCUGUGUGUCUAAGUCCCCUGGUCAUCCUUGAAAAUCAUGUCCCUCAUAUUUAUCUGGCAGUCAAUUCCGAAUAGAGCACUGCCUAUUGCAUCUCCAGCGUGCACCUCAGUGCA